Papaver somniferum (opium poppy) is the source of this 801-nucleotide long non-coding RNA. RefSeq lists it as uncharacterized. Lineage: Eukaryota; Viridiplantae; Streptophyta; Magnoliopsida; Ranunculales; Papaveraceae. The record is from RefSeq and is a predicted model, not a curated record. The transcript has 6 exons.
AAGAGCUCUCCAUAUACUCCGUCAAAGACGACAUUAUAAGAUUUUGACAACAUUUUAGCUCGGAUUCGAUUCAUGAUCAGGUUUAGAUCAUGUCAGGCAUCUCCACCUUUCCAUUUUCUCUCAACCCCGAAGAAUCUCUGGAAGAAGAUCUCAAAACAACCAUAUCUGGUGCACCAAUGUGUUUUUCUGGCAGUGCAUGGUUUGCACAGUUGCAGAUUUAUCUUGACACGGCUUCUGGACAGUCAGGUUACCAUCCUUCGAUAAGUGUACAUAUUGGUGCACCUGUAAUACAGUGAUUUAGAGGAGGAUUUGAAGUGAUUUCAGCUGAGAAAAGCAAAGAAGGUUCUAGCUUGAGCAUUUGGUAUGAUUGGUUUCGAAUUUUUGCUGGAUUUUCACUGAAGAAGCGGCAUUAGGUAGAUGUUUAAAGUUCUCCAUAAGAUGAGGUUUGUUUUUUGGAUCAUAGCUGAACUGGUUACGAAUCAAACACUCUUCCCCGAGGACUCUGAAUUGUAGCAAUUACUACACAUUUUCAGGUUGCUUGCUGGGGACUCUAAAUUAAGAUCGAUGGACAGGGGUAAGCAAGGUAACGAAUUGACAUAUAAUCAGUUCACCAAGGUCUGCUCUUGAUCUGUCAAGGUUGAUUCGAGGAUGACUCAGUUUUGGCCAUGUUAGGUUCAUAGUUUUGUCAAUCUGUGUAGACUUGAGUGGUUGUUGGCUACAAAGGAUGUUGGAUUUUCUGGAAUUUUGCACAUGUGAACGCGCACGUACACCAGUGUAAAUUAAAAAAAAUUAAAAAUGAAA